GACGAACGCUGGCGGCGUGCUUAACACAUGCAAGUCGAACGGUGAACCAGGGCUUGCCCUGGGGAUCAGUGGCGAACGGGUGAGUAACACGUGGGCAACCUGCCCCUGACUCCGGGAUAACCCCUUGAAAGAGGUGCUAAUACCGGAUACGACCACUUCGGGCAUCCGAUGGUGGUGGAAAGAAUUUUGGUCGGGGAUGGGCCCGCGGCCUAUCAGCUUGUUGGUGGGGUAACGGCCCACCAAGGCGACGACGGGUAGCCGGCCUGGGAGGGCGACCGGCCACACGGGGACUGGGAGACGGACCAGACGCCUACGGGAGGCAGCAGUGGGGAAUAUUGCUCAAUGGGCGAAAGCCUGACGCAGCGACGCCGCGUGAGGGACGACGGCCUUCGGGUUGUAAACCUCUUUCAGCAGGGACGAAGCGCAAGUGACGGUACCUGCAGAAGAAGCACCGGCUAACUACGUGCCAGCAGCCGCAGUAA
This 482-nucleotide ribosomal RNA is filed under the name uncultured bacterium. RNAcentral's name for it is "partial 16S ribosomal RNA". It matches the Rfam family "Bacterial small subunit ribosomal RNA", at positions 28 to 523 of the family's 1533-position model. The record is from RNAcentral.